This 780-nucleotide ribosomal RNA is filed under the name uncultured Acidimicrobiales bacterium. Its description in RNAcentral is "bacterial SSU rRNA". It matches the Rfam family "Bacterial small subunit ribosomal RNA", at positions 60 to 854 of the family's 1533-position model. Lineage: Bacteria; Bacillati; Actinomycetota; Acidimicrobiia; Acidimicrobiales. The record is from RNAcentral.
AGUCGAACGAACUCGACCUUCGGGUCAUAUAGUGAGUGGCGAACGGGUGAGUAACACGUGAGAAACCUGCCCCGAAGACUGGAACAACCCGAGGAAACUCGGGCUAAUACCGGAUACCCCCAUCGGAUCGCAUGAUCUGAUGAGGAAAUGCUCCGGCGCUUCGGGAGGGUCUCGCGGCCUAUCAGCUAGUUGGUGAGGUAAUGGCUCACCAAGGCAACGACGGGUAGCUGGUCUGAGAGGACGAUCAGCCACACUGGGACUGAGACACGGCCCAGACUCCUACGGGAGGCAGCAGUGGGGAAUAUUGCGCAAUGGGCGAAAGCCUGACGCAGCCACGCCGCGUGCGGGAUGAAGGCUCUAGGGUUGUAAACCGCUUUAGGCAGGGAAGAAAAUGACGGUACCUGCAGAAUAAGGUCCGGCCAACUACGUGCCAGCAGCCGCGGUAACACGUAGGGACCGAGCGUUGUCCGGAUUUAUUGGGCGUAAAGAGCUCGUAGGCGGUUCGGUAAGUCAGGUGUGAAAGCUCGAGGCUCAACCUCGAGAUGCCACCUGAUACUGCUGUGACUUGAGUCCGGUAGAGGAGUGUGGAAUUCCUGGUGUAGCGGUGAAAUGCGCAGAUAUCAGGAGGAACACCAAUUGCGAAGGCAGCACUCUGGGCCGGUACUGACGCUGAGGAGCGAAAGCGUGGGGAGCGAACAGGAUUAGAUACCCUGGUAGUCCACGCCGUAAACGUUGGGCACUAGGUGUGGGAUCGAACUAACCGAUUCCGUGCCGUAGCUA